GUUUUUAUAGUGUAUGUAAACAUCUUACUUUUUCGUAGUAAAGCUGAAAUAAUAAUUUCUAAAAACA
Molecule: transfer RNA, 67 nt
Filed under: Bottapotamon lingchuanense
Lineage: Eukaryota; Metazoa; Arthropoda; Malacostraca; Decapoda; Potamidae
Description: tRNA-Glu
Source: RNAcentral